AUUGGUUUAGUUUAUAUAAAAUGUUAUUUUGUGGUGAUAAAGAAAAUUAGGUUUAACCAGUA
Molecule: transfer RNA, 62 nt
Filed under: Villorita cyprinoides
Lineage: Eukaryota; Metazoa; Mollusca; Bivalvia; Venerida; Cyrenidae
Description: tRNA-His
Source: RNAcentral